RNAcentral lists this long non-coding RNA (539 nucleotides) under Pan troglodytes (chimpanzee). RNAcentral describes it as "lincRNA". Lineage: Eukaryota; Metazoa; Chordata; Mammalia; Primates; Hominidae. The record is from RNAcentral.
GAGAUUGACUAGACAUAGUGCCACUGUCAUCCCUGCUGGAGAAGGUCCAAAGCACCUCCACCUCUGUGCUUCCAGAGGGGCAUUGUGGUGGCCACUUAAAAUGCUCAGGCUAUACCAUGCACUAGAGCAUCUACCUGGGCAAGGGAUAUGCUGUAUGACACUCUCCUGAUGCUGGGCAUGGCUGUGAGCCAAAGCACCCAGGCAGCCCUGCCAUCAGAAGGGUAAACCACGGACACCUGAUGCCUUCCUGAAGGAAGAGCACUACGCCUGCCAAACCAUCAAGCGUUGAUGCUCCAGCGCCUUCUACCCAUGGUUCUCCAGCCUCAGCAGAAGAGAGAGAAAUUGAUGACCCUGUCGUUGUAGCAUCCCCAUCACCCAGCAAUUAAUUUUAGUUCAAUGCUUCAAACGCUCUUCAGGCGCAGUGUGCGUUCAGCUGUGUCAGCUAAUGGCACUGGAGACACAGAAAUGAAAGAGACAACGUGCCCUCAAGGAUCUCACAGUGUGUGGUGAGGUGGACACACACACACAUAUCUAAGCAC